Molecule: ribosomal RNA, 441 nt
Filed under: uncultured Prevotella sp.
Lineage: Bacteria; Pseudomonadati; Bacteroidota; Bacteroidia; Bacteroidales; Prevotellaceae
Description: bacterial SSU rRNA
Rfam family: Bacterial small subunit ribosomal RNA
Source: RNAcentral
UGAGGAAUAUUGGUCAAUGGACGGAAGUCUGAACCAGCCAAGUAGCGUGCAGGACGACGGCCCUAUGGGUUGUAAACUGCUUUUAUGUGGGAAUAAAGUGAGGGACGUGUCCCUUUUUGUAGGUACCACAUGAAUAAGGACCGGCUAAUUCCGUGCCAGCAGCCGCGGUAAUACGGAAGGUCCGGGCGUUAUCCGGAUUUAUUGGGUUUAAAGGGUGCGCAGGCGGCUCGUCAAGUCAGCGGUGAAAGCCCGGGGCUCAACCCCGGUAAGCCGUUGAAACUGGCAAGCUGGAGUUCGGGCGAGGCAGGCGGAAUGCGCGGUGUAGCGGUGAAAUGCAUAGAUAUUGCGCAGAACUCCGAUUGCGAAGGCAGCUUGCCAGCCCUGGACUGACGCUGAGGCACGAAAGCGUGGGUAUCGAACAGGAUUAGAUACCCUGGUAGU